CCUACGGGAGGCAGCAGUGAGGAAUAUUGGUCAAUGGGCGCGAGCCUGAACCAGCCAAGUAGCGUGAAGGAUGACUGCCCUACGGGUUGUAAACUUCUUUUAUAAAGGAAUAAAGUGAGGCACGUGUGCCUUUUUGGAUGUACUGUAUGAAUAAGGAGCGGCUAACUCCGUGCCAGCAGCCGCGGUAAUACGGAGGAUCCGAGCGUUAUCCGGAUGUAUUGGGUUUAAAGGGAGCGUAGAGGGGUUGUGAAGUCAGUUGUGCAAGUUUGCGGCUCAACCGUAAAAUUGCAAUUGAUACGGGCAGUCUUGAGUACAGUUGCGGUAGGCGGACUUCGUGGUGUAGC
RNAcentral lists this ribosomal RNA (344 nucleotides) under uncultured bacterium. Its description in RNAcentral is "partial 16S ribosomal RNA". It matches the Rfam family "Bacterial small subunit ribosomal RNA", at positions 338 to 679 of the family's 1533-position model. The record is from RNAcentral.